GCUGGGCGUGGUGGUGCACACCUGUAAUCCCAGCUACUCAGGAGGCUGAGGCAGGAGAAUCGCUUGAACCCAGGAGAUGGAGGUUGCAGUGAGCCAAAAUCAUGCCACUGCACUCCAGCCUGGGUGACAGAGUGAGACCCCGUCUUAA
RNAcentral lists this non-coding RNA (148 nucleotides) under Nomascus leucogenys (northern white-cheeked gibbon). Lineage: Eukaryota; Metazoa; Chordata; Mammalia; Primates; Hylobatidae. The record is from Rfam by way of RNAcentral.